AAGUGGAGCAAUCCAUGAGUAUAGUGGCGACCGGGUGAGUAACACGUGACUACCUGCCCUUGAGUGGGGGAUAACCUCGGGAAACCGAGGCUAAUACCGCAUAAAAUCGAAAGAUCAAAGGAGCAAUCCGCUUUUGGAGGGGGUCGCGGCUGAUUAGCUAGUUGGUAGGGUGAUGGCCUACCAAGGCGAAGAUCGGUAUCCGGCCUGAGAGGGCGCACGGACACACUGGAACUGAAACACGGUCCAGACUCCUACGGGAGGCAGCAGUGGGGAAUUUUGCGCAAUGGGGGAAACCCUGACGCAGCAACGCCGCGUGGAGGAUGAAGUCCCUUGGG
Molecule: ribosomal RNA, 335 nt
Filed under: uncultured bacterium
Lineage: Bacteria
Description: bacterial SSU rRNA
Rfam family: Bacterial small subunit ribosomal RNA
Source: RNAcentral